This 494-nucleotide ribosomal RNA is filed under the name uncultured bacterium. RNAcentral's name for it is "bacterial SSU rRNA". It matches the Rfam family "Bacterial small subunit ribosomal RNA", at positions 903 to 1397 of the family's 1533-position model. The record is from RNAcentral.
AAAUGAAUAGACGGGGACCCGCACAAGCAGCGGAGCAUGUGGUUUAAUUCGAAGCAACGCGAAGAACCUUACCAGGGCUUGACAUCCCUCUGACAGGUGGGUAAUGCCACCCUCCCUUCGGGGCAGAGGUGACAGGUGGUGCAUGGUUGUCGUCAGCUCGUGUCGUGAGAUGUUGGGUUAAGUCCCGCAACGAGCGCAACCCUUGUCAUUAGUUGCCAUCAGGUAAAGCUGGGCACUCUAAUGAGACCGCCGGGGAUAACUCGGAGGAAGGUGGGGAUGACGUCAAAUCAUCAUGCCCCUUAUGUUCUGGGCUACACACGUGCUACAAUGGCCGGUACAGAGAGAGGCGAACCCGCAAGGGGGAGCAAAACUCCAAAACCGGUCCCAGUUCGGAUUGCAGGCUGAAACUCGCCUGCAUGAAGUCGGAGUUGCUAGUAAUCGCGAAUCAGCAUGUCGCGGUGAAUGCGUUCCCGGGUCUUGUACACACCGCCCGU